CCCAACCGCCGUCGUCGCGCUUCGCCUCGCCCCCAACCGCCGACGUCGCGGCCUUCGUCCCGCCCCCAACCGCCGUCGUCGCGCUCCGUUUGGCCCCCAACAGCCGUCGUUGCAGCCUCCGCCCCGCCCCCAACCGUCGUCGCCCCAUCCCCAACCGACCGUCGCUCCAUCAGCGCCCGUGGAUCCGACCACCGCGAUGACUGACUCCUCCGUUGUGCCAAUCUUUGCUGCAUCAGAGGGGUUGCUAACAGAGAAGAGUGCCUUGCCCAACCCCAUAGAGGAAAUCAGUAGCCAGCAACGCAGAUCAUGAACUCUGAUCAUGCGCCCGAUAGUUUUCUUUGAUCCAUCUUGUUUACCUUUUGUAUAGAAAGAUGAUGAGAGAUCAGUGAUCGGAACCGAUGCAUUCUUUGUACCAUGGAGAUUUUCUGAAAUAUUUUGUUUACCAGAAUUGAUCGUUCAGUUGCCAAAUUACAUCAUGUGAUUUAUCUUUUGGAGAAAUAUUUUGUCCUGCUAUUUGUUUAGUCAACUUUGUUUGCAUUUUUUUCCCCGUAACUUGGUAUGCAUGAGUUUCAG
RNAcentral lists this long non-coding RNA (573 nucleotides) under Hordeum vulgare. Its description in RNAcentral is "long non-coding RNA (HVUL_LNC009405)". Lineage: Eukaryota; Viridiplantae; Streptophyta; Magnoliopsida; Poales; Poaceae. The record is from RNAcentral.